AUUGAACGCUGGCGGCAUGCUUUACACAUGCAAGUCGAACGGCAGCGCGGGCUUCGGCCUGGCGGCGAGUGGCGAACGGGUGAGUAAUACAUCGGAACGUGCCCAGUAGUGGGGGAUAGCUCGUCGAAAGCCGGAUUAAUACCGCAUACUACCUGAUGGUGAAAGCGGGGGAGCUUCGGACCUCGCGCUAUUGGAGCGGCCGAUGGCAGAUUAGCUAGUUGGUGGGGUAAAGGCCUACCAAGGCGACGAUCUGUAGCUGGUCUGAGAGGGCGACCAGCCACACUGGGACUGAGACACGGCCCAGACUCCUACGGGAGGCAGCAGUGGGGAAUUUUGGACAAUGGGGGAAAGCCUGAUCCAGCAAUGCCGCGUGUGUGAUGAAGGCCUUCGGGUUGUAAAGCACUUUUGGCGGGAACGAAAAGGACUGUGCCAAUACCACGGUUCGAUGACGGUACCCGCAGAAUAAGCACCGGCUAACUACGUG
RNAcentral lists this ribosomal RNA (484 nucleotides) under uncultured bacterium. Its description in RNAcentral is "partial 16S ribosomal RNA". It matches the Rfam family "Bacterial small subunit ribosomal RNA", at positions 29 to 507 of the family's 1533-position model. The record is from RNAcentral.